Molecule: ribosomal RNA, 253 nt
Filed under: uncultured bacterium
Lineage: Bacteria
Description: partial 16S ribosomal RNA
Rfam family: Bacterial small subunit ribosomal RNA
Source: RNAcentral
GACGAACCGUGCAAACGUUAUUCGGAAUCACUGGGCUUAAAGGGCGCGUAGGCGGGCUCCCAAGUCGGUGGUGAAAUCUUUCGGCCCAACCGGAAAAGUGCCGCCGAUACUGGGAGCCUCGAGGGAGGUAGGGGUCGAGGGAACUCUAGGUGGAGCGGUGAAAUGCGUAGAUAUCUGGAGGAACGCCGGUGGCGAAAGCGCUCGACUGGACCUCUUCUGACGCUGAGGCGCGAAAGCCAGGGGAGCAAACGGG